UACGGAGGGGGCUAGCGUUGUUCGGAAUUACUGGGCGUAAAGCGCACGUAGGCGGCUUUGUAAGUUAGAGGUGAAAGCCCGGGGCUCAACUCCGGAAUUGCCUUUAAGACUGCAUCGCUAGAAUCCGGGAGAGGUGAGUGGAAUUCCGAGUGUAGAGGUGAAAUUCGUAGAUAUUCGGAAGAACACCAGUGGCGAAGGCGGCUCACUGGACCGGCAUUGACGCUGAGGUGCGAAAGCGUGGGGAGCAAACAGG
Molecule: ribosomal RNA, 253 nt
Filed under: uncultured bacterium
Lineage: Bacteria
Description: partial 16S ribosomal RNA
Rfam family: Bacterial small subunit ribosomal RNA
Source: RNAcentral